This is a long non-coding RNA of Numida meleagris (helmeted guineafowl), 1179 nucleotides long. RefSeq lists it as uncharacterized. NCBI's taxonomy places the organism in Eukaryota, Metazoa, Chordata, Aves, Galliformes, Numididae. The transcript is spliced from 3 exons. The record is from RefSeq and is a predicted model, not a curated record.
CGCUGAGCUGCAGAGCAAGGAGCAGUAAGUCAUCGUUUGCCGCAGCAUCACCAGUGCUGCCUUUGGGUAGAAAUGAAAGUCCUGUAGAAAUGUAAGCAGCAAUGUUACACGGAUUGCUGUACCAACAGAAGCCAUCUGCGUCUCUUUGGCUUACAGCACCUGGAGAACUCACAGAGCACACGCUGUUGGCCAGGCAGUAAGGCUGCAGUGCCAGCGGGAUAACCCAGAGCCCCCCCAGCCCCGCUGGGUCCUGGCAGGGAGCAGCCACUCUUCCUUAUGCCCAUCACGAGGCCAGGAGCUGUAAUGCAGCAGCUGCUGGAACUGGGUGUGAAGUGCGUCUCUUCUGCCACACAGCCAGCCCUGCGCUCCACCACAUCCCCCACGAGCGACCCAUAUCCCAUCCCUGCUGUACCCAUGUAUUUCAGCCACGUUUCCAUACCUGGAGGACGUAGCUAAGGCGAUCAGCAAAGCUUGCAGUAUCCCCUUAAUGAAAGCAUAGGGGUUUUUCCUGGUGAUGAGUAUAAAGAGCAGAGGAUCUUUCCAGCAAUGAGAAACACGAUGCCGAAGGGGAAGUACCUACCAAGAAUAGGGACCAGUGUUCAUGAGGACCGAGCAAUGCAGCAGCGAUGGCAGCUGUGCUGCGCUGAGUCCAUUGCUCACAACAGAUGCGUGGGGCUGUAGGAUGGGCAUCAGCACCAGCGAGCAGGUGAGGAGAGAGCAGAAGCAAUGACAGCCCGACUCACCAGACGGCCAUGGAGACGAUUUUCAUCACGGCUUCGUUCAGACACUGGCACACGUUGACCAGCGGCGCUCCUCGCUCACCCAUCUUUCCCAGGAGGAGCCCUACAGCCCAACACAUGGACCCGUGCUACUGAGCGGUACCCGGUGCGCAGCGCCCGUGCCCUCGGGCUGUGGCUGGAGGAAUCUAGAGAGGGAUGCACUGGCUUUUUGCUGACAGCUCCGUCGGUGCCCCCGGUGCUGCCCUCACCGCGCUGCCCCCGCACCCCAAAUCCUCGGAUUGGCGCUCGGGCUCCUGAUACGCUGAGCUCAAGCUCCUCGCCCUCACCUCUCCCCAUAAUCCGCCCCACGCUGAUCCUAUCGCCUCCCACUCUUUCCCCCCCGCUCCCUCCUCCUCCCGCAGGUACCUAUGGUGGCGGAGAAGAUGACGAUCCCAAGGAC